UGGUUCUGGCAUCGAUGAAGAACGCAGCGAAAUGCGAUAAGUAAUGUGAAUUGCAGAAUUCAGUGAAUCAUCGAAUCUUUGAACGCACAUUGCGCCCUUUGGUAUUCCGAGGGGCAUGCCUGUUCGAGCGUCAUUUCAACCCUCAAGCUUCGGCUUGGUAUUGGGCUCUCGUCCGCCAUACUGGACGUGCCUGAAACUCAUAGGCGGUUGUGCUCAGCUCCUUAGCGUAGUCAUAUCUUACCGCUCUGGAGGACUGGGUACGGCCCGCCUGAGAACCCCCCAUAUUUCUCUAGUUUUGACCUCGGAUCAGGUAGGGAUACCCGCUGA
Molecule: unclassified non-coding RNA, 327 nt
Filed under: uncultured fungus
Lineage: Eukaryota; Fungi
Description: partial contains 5.8S ribosomal RNA and internal transcribed spacer 2
Rfam family: 5.8S ribosomal RNA (bases 1-133)
Source: RNAcentral